RNAcentral lists this ribosomal RNA (253 nucleotides) under uncultured bacterium. Its description in RNAcentral is "partial 16S ribosomal RNA". It matches the Rfam family "Bacterial small subunit ribosomal RNA", at positions 524 to 776 of the family's 1533-position model. The record is from RNAcentral.
UACGAAGGGGGCUAGCGUUGCUCGGAAUCACUGGGCGUAAAGGGUGCGUAGGCGGGUCUUUAAGUCAGGGGUGAAAUCCUGGAGCUCAACUCCAGAACUGCCUUUGAUACUGGAGAGCUUGAGUCCGGGGGAGGUGAGUGGAACUCCGAGUGUAGAGGUGAAAUUCGUAGAUAUUCGGAAGAACACCAGUGGCGAAGGCGGCUCACUGGCCCGGUACUGACGCUGAGGUGCGAAAGCGUGGGGAGCAAACAGG